AUUUAAAUAGCUUAUAAACUAGAGCAUAACAUUGAAGCUGUUAGGGAGAUACUUAUCUUUAAAUA
This 65-nucleotide transfer RNA is filed under the name Amphigerontia montivaga. RNAcentral describes it as "tRNA-Phe". Lineage: Eukaryota; Metazoa; Arthropoda; Insecta; Psocodea; Psocidae. The record is from RNAcentral.